Piliocolobus tephrosceles (Ugandan red Colobus) is the source of this 439-nucleotide long non-coding RNA. RefSeq lists it as uncharacterized. The record is from RefSeq and is a predicted model, not a curated record. NCBI's taxonomy places the organism in Eukaryota, Metazoa, Chordata, Mammalia, Primates, Cercopithecidae. The transcript has 3 exons.
GCGGCAGUUGCUGGCCUAGACUCACUUCUUCAGGAGGGAGGUUCGCCCUGGAAAGCUGAUCUGCAUUUCUGCUGGGAUCGAUGCGGUGGAGACGGAAUACAUUGAGUUCUCCAGUUGAAAGAAGAAAGCUUAACCUGGCUUCUGAAUUCCAAGAGCACACUGCGCAGUGGGUCUAAAUCAGCCUCUGGUUAUGAAGGGCCUGGAGCCAGAUGUGAGCUUCUUGGAGCUUUUGGCAGUUUCUAGUGGAGGCCAGCUAUCCUUGUCAUCUACCUUGGCCCCUCUGCAGGGGAUGAGCUCAGGGCUACACUUUUUCUUCCAGGUUCUCAUGGUGUGGUGUGGGCUCCAUUUCUUUCUCUUUGAACCUCACUUCAACAUGAUUAGAGUGACUGAAGGUAAAGAAAUAGGAACUGUUUUACUGUAAAUAAGUUAGUCCCUGCUA